Molecule: ribosomal RNA, 468 nt
Filed under: uncultured bacterium
Lineage: Bacteria
Description: partial 16S ribosomal RNA
Rfam family: Bacterial small subunit ribosomal RNA
Source: RNAcentral
GACGAACGCUGGCGGCGUGCUUAACACAUGCAAGUCGAACGGAAAGGCCCUGCUUUUGUGGGGUGCUCGAGUGGCGAACGGGUGAGUAACACGUGAGUAACCUGCCCUUGACUUUGGGAUAACUUCAGGAAACUGGGGCUAAUACCGGAUAGGAGCUCCUGCUGCAUGGUGGGGGUUGGAAAGUUUCGGCGGUGGGGGAUGGACUCGCGGCUUAUCAGCUUGUUGGUGGGGUAGUGGCUUACCAAGGCUUUGACGGGUAGCCGGCCUGAGAGGGUGACCGGGCACAUUGGGACUGAGAUAAGGGCCAGACUCCUACGGGAGGCAGCAGUGGGGAAUAUUGCACAAUGGGCGGAAGCCUGAUGCAGCAACGCCGCGUGCGGGAUGACGGCCUUCGGGUUGUAAACCGCUUUCGCCUGUGACGAAGCGUGAGUGACGGUAAUGGGUAAAGAAGCACCGGCUAACUACGUG